UCCGAGUUGACCCCGGCAGUCUCCCAUGAGUCCCCACCAUAACGUGCUGGCAACAUAGGAUAAGGGUUGCGCUCGUUGCGGGACUUAACCCAACAUCUCACGACACGAGCUGACGACAGCCAUGCACCACCUGUCACCCGCCCCGAAGGACACCGUGUCUCCACGGCUUUACGGGCGAUGUCAAACCCAGGUAAGGUGGGGAUGACGUGUCCUUGAUAGG
Molecule: unclassified non-coding RNA, 220 nt
Filed under: uncultured Actinomycetes bacterium
Lineage: Bacteria; Bacillati; Actinomycetota; Actinomycetes
Description: uncultured actinobacterium contains 16S-23S intergenic spacer region
Source: RNAcentral